CUACGGGCUGCAGCAGUAGGGAAUCUUGCGCAAUGGGCGAAAGCCUGACGCAGCAACGCCGCGUGAACGAUGAAGCUUUUCGGAGUGUAAAGUUCUGUCAGUGGGGACGAAAUUUGACGGUACCCACAGAGGAAGCACCGGCUAACUCCGUGCCAGCAGCCGCGGUAAUACGGAGGGUGCAAGCGUUGUCCGGAAUCAUUGGGCGUAAAGAGUUCGUAGGUGGUAUGUUAAGUCUGGUGUUAAAGCCCGAAGCUCAACUUCGGUUCGGCACUGGAUACUGGCAAACUUGAAUGUGGUAGAGGUAAAGGGAAUUCCUGGUGUAGCGGUGAAAUGCGUAGAUAUCAGGAGGAACAUCGGUGGCGUAAGCGCUUUACUGGGCCAUAAUUGACACUGAGGAACGAAAGCCAGGGUAGCAAAUGGGAUUAGAUACCCCCGUAGUC
Molecule: ribosomal RNA, 440 nt
Filed under: uncultured bacterium
Lineage: Bacteria
Description: partial 16S ribosomal RNA
Rfam family: Bacterial small subunit ribosomal RNA
Source: RNAcentral